CUACGGGUUGCAGCAGUGGGGAAUAUUACACAAUGGGCGCAAGCCUGAUGCAGCCAUGCCGCGUGUAUGAAGAAGGCCUUCGGGUUGUAAAGUACUUUCAGCGGGGAGGAAGGGAGUAAAGUUAAUACCUUUGCUCAUUGACGUUACCCGCAGAAGAAGCACCGGCUAACUCCGUGCCAGCAGCCGCGGUAAUACGGAGGGUGCAAGCGUUAAUCGGAAUUACUGGGCGUAAAGCGCACGCAGGCGGUUUGUUAAGUCAGAUGUGAAAUCCCCGGGCUCAACCUGGGAACUGCAUCUGAUACUGGCAAGCUUGAGUCUCGUAGAGGGGGGUAGAAUUCCAGGUGUAGCGGUGAAAUGCGUAGAGAUCUGGAGGAAUACCGGUGGCGAAGGCGGCCCCCUGGACGAAGACUGACGCUCAGGUGCGAAAGCGUGGGGAGCAAACAGGAUUAGAUACCCGGGUAGUC
Molecule: ribosomal RNA, 464 nt
Filed under: uncultured bacterium
Lineage: Bacteria
Description: partial 16S ribosomal RNA
Rfam family: Bacterial small subunit ribosomal RNA
Source: RNAcentral